Echinops telfairi (small Madagascar hedgehog) is the source of this 226-nucleotide long non-coding RNA. RefSeq lists it as uncharacterized. The record is from RefSeq and is a predicted model, not a curated record. Lineage: Eukaryota; Metazoa; Chordata; Mammalia; Afrosoricida; Tenrecidae. The transcript is spliced from 2 exons.
GUACAUUGAAAGGAUGGAGGUGAAAGGUUCCAAUCCACCCUGAGGACCUUUGGAAGAAAGGCCUGGACAGCUACUUCCAAAAACUCAACCACCGAGGGGAAAAAAGCCAUAUGAAGUUAAAUUUUACACUGGCUCUUACGAGACCUCCAUGAAGAAGACUCGGCUCAAAAGCAACUAGGACCAGUAACGAGCCACCUAAAUAAAGAUGAUGUACUUGCGAUACAAA